Molecule: ribosomal RNA, 504 nt
Filed under: uncultured bacterium
Lineage: Bacteria
Description: bacterial SSU rRNA
Rfam family: Bacterial small subunit ribosomal RNA
Source: RNAcentral
CAGGAUGAACGCUAGCUACAGGCUUAACACAUGCAAGUCGAGGGGCAUCAUGGAGUUGCUGCAAACUCUGAUGGCGACCGGCGCACGGGUGAGUAACGCGUAUCCAACCUUCCCUAUAGUAGAGGAUAGCCCGGCGAAAGUCGGAUUAAUACUCUAUGUUUUCCGUUGCAGACAUCUAAGAUGGAACAAAGGCUUGCCGCUAUAGGAUGGGGAUGCGUCUGAUUAGGUAGUCGGCGGGGUAACGGCCCACCGAGCCAUCGAUCAGUAGGGGUUCUGAGAGGAAGGUCCCCCACAUUGGAACUGAGACACGGUCCAAACUCCUACGGGAGGCAGCAGUGAGGAAUAUUGGUCAAUGGGCGAGAGCCUGAACCAGCCAAGUAGCGUGCAGGACGACGGCCCUAUGGGUUGUAAACUGUCUUUUAUGGCGGGGAUAAAGUUCACUACGUGUAGUGUUUUGUAGGUACCGCAUGAAUAAGGACCGGCUAAUUCCGUGCCAGCAGCCGC